UACGUAGGGUGCAAGCGUUGUCCGGAAUUAUUGGGCGUAAAGAGCUCGUAGGCGGUCUGUCACGUCGGCUGUGAAAUCCCGAGGCUCAACCUCGGGUCUGCAGUCGAUACGGGCAAACUAGAGUAUUGCAGGGGAGACUGGAAUUCCUGGUGUAGCGGUGAAAUGCGCAGAUAUCAGGAGGAACACCGGUGGCGAAGGCGGGUCUCUGGGCAAUAACUGACGCUGAGACGCGAAAGCGUGGGGAGCGAACAGG
Molecule: ribosomal RNA, 253 nt
Filed under: uncultured bacterium
Lineage: Bacteria
Description: partial 16S ribosomal RNA
Rfam family: Bacterial small subunit ribosomal RNA
Source: RNAcentral